UCUUAUCAAACAGCCACUUACUUUUAGGAUGAAAAGGUAGGUCUUAUGGUGUCUUUAGAAGGGUGCUAGGUUUGGGGCUUUAAAGGGGAAUUUUUAGGGUUCUAGUGUCCUUAGAAGGCUACUAGGGUUCAUGGAGUCUUCCACAUCGGAACAUACAUGUUUUCUGAUGAAAAUAGGGUGAGUAGCACUUUUAAUACUGUUUAGUACUCCAGAGUAUAGCACUUUCAGGUAGAAAGGGAACACCACCGUGAUAAACAAAACAAAAACAAGCACUUGUGAACUAGGAAAAAAAAACAAGCCGUUUUGAAUGCUCAAGAGCAUCUUCUUUGUUCUUGAUGAUUUCCGGUUGUUCCACUUUCACUGUCAUUCAAUUUUCACAAUGUCAACAUAUGCAGAGCCAGCCCUCGGGAGAUGAAGACUCUCAGAAUUCAUUCAUAGUAAUUGUUCUUGAAAAUUCACAUGGCGUACCUGAGCAAAUAUUGAACCUCUGUGGGUGAGAGAUUUUACUCCAGCAUAAAUGACAAGCACAAAUCUGGCUGUUUCUUACCUAUUAGUUCCUCUAUCGUUACUGCCUUCUUCGAUAUUCCAGACUCUUGAAAAGCUGAGUAAUCGCGAAUUCAGAAUUUUUUACCACUUGUAUGGACUGUUUUGUCACCAAAAUAACGGCUAUGUGAUUGUGCACGGAGUGCCGCCUUGUGAAAAGUUCAUCCUGCUGAUAGAGAAGGCUGAGUUGCUGAAUUACACUCGGAGUUCAGUGGUUUGAUGCCCUUCUGUACUCUAAUUGCGGCUAAGGCUGCAGCUGCAACUGCAAUAAUAUAAUAAAAGUUGCAGAACUGAGAACAGAAAAAAUCAAUAGCACAGAAUUUUCUAUCGUUUCAAAUUUCAUGCACGGGGAAAGAAAAUAUAAUAGGACAGAAGGCAUUGAAUUUGACCUUUCUGAAAAUGGGUAAAUUAACAGUUCAUGAAAACAAUGCAUCAAUUAGAUUUCAAUAUUUGGCUUUUGUCAUGCAAACUCUUGGAACACGAGAAUUGUUAGUUCUCUCUCUCCACCUGGUUUAUUUAUUAAUUUAUUUUUGGAUAAUAAAGAAAAUAUAACUUAGAAAAGAGCAAAGAGAUAUUACAGAAUGAGAAGCCGAGGAUGAGAAACCCUCCCAAACUAUGGAAAAGAAAUAAAUACAAAGCCCUUAAAUUAGGCUUCCCAACAGUCUCUCUCAACAACUCUGGACAUGAAAUCACACCAGAAGCACACAUCACUAGAAGACCACAAAGAAGCCCAAAAAAUGACCUAUUUCCAAUUUAUAAGAGGACAUCAGUUGGCCGCUAAUAAUCCAAGCAUUCCUCUCCAUUAAAAUACCACAAAGAGUACCAUUGCAAGACAGCUUUACCAUUCCUCUCUAUACGCAUCCAAUGAACUAAUCCAACAUUCCCCAAAAAAUACUCUCUUGACGUAUCCAGUGGUAUUCAUUAUAAUGAAGAGAAAGGUAAUAUUUACUUGGCAGCCAGCAGGAAUCAAAAAAUGACUAGAUGAGUAAACAAGAACAUAAAAUGAACAGAAUGACAGGAAUGAAUUCAGCAUGCAUCUUUUACUGCAAUGAUAACCAAAUAAUGUUGAUUUGAAACGAGCAACAAAUAUUUUGAAACUGUAGACUGAUGACUAACCUGUCAUGAAAAUUCUUCUACUAUGAAAAAGCUAGCUUCUGCAGGAUAAUGGCCCUUAACAAAACCAGGUUCCCAAGCGGUUUUGAU
This 1746-nucleotide long non-coding RNA is filed under the name Panax ginseng (ginseng). Its description in RNAcentral is "long non-coding RNA (PGIN_LNC017802)". The record is from RNAcentral. Lineage: Eukaryota; Viridiplantae; Streptophyta; Magnoliopsida; Apiales; Araliaceae.